This is a long non-coding RNA of Macrobrachium nipponense, 1151 nucleotides long. RefSeq lists it as uncharacterized. Lineage: Eukaryota; Metazoa; Arthropoda; Malacostraca; Decapoda; Palaemonidae. The transcript is spliced from 3 exons. The record is from RefSeq and is a predicted model, not a curated record.
CAACUUUUGUUCACUUGGGAGUUUGUAUGUAUGAAUGUGUGAUAAUAACCACUUGGAUUAUAUCACGGAUGAUGGAUAUAUACUAAAUUUACUAAAUAUAAAGUAGGAACCCCAGCCACCGUGGACGCUUCCACGGAAAGGACCCACAAAAGAGAGGUCAUGCUCACAGCAAAGUACGAUGGAGCAGAAAGUAAGAGUGAAGAAUUGUAGUAUGUGUUAGGUGCUAUAUAGUGUAUGCAGACACAUACAACAGUGGUGACGCAAGUUACGAACUCAACAGCCAUAUGGAGCCUAGCCUACACUUAACCUCCUAAACAAAGAAGUGGAAGACAACAACCCUAAUCCGAUGAAGUCUAUCUGAAAAUGAAGACAAUCUCAAUUAGAUAGCUUCAAUACACUUGAACCAGCAUUCUUCAAGCACUAUGGCAAGAUAGUUGUGAGUUUAAAGCAACAAAAUAAGGUGGUUUAGCCUUGAUAGAUAACUUCCCAAAUCCUGGGUCAAAACUUCCCAUUGGUAGCCCAAAACUCUUCCAAAUUCCCGAAUUCGUAGCCUGACCCUAACUUCCAAGUAUCUCACAGCAAAAAUGCUGAUAUAUGUCAAAAUUCUUGAAAGCUUUAGUAUCAAUAAUGAUUCUAAGUCAGUUUUUACAAGAUGGAAAAGGUGCAUAGGCAGCUUUCUGGUUUAUCUAAAAGCACCAGGGGAAAUAAAUGAAGAGCAGCAGAAGGCUUUGUUACUUAAUACUGCAGGUCUAGAAGUUCAGGAAGUAUACAAUACUUUGACUCUUAACAAGAUUCAUUGCAGGACACAAUUGAAGGGUUCACAAAUUAUUUUGCUCCUCAAGCCAAUAUUAAAUACUUUGUAUGUCAUCAGUUCACCCAAACAUCACAAGAAUCAGGUGAGAACCCCUUCUUUACCAAGAAGCUUAACCAAACGUAAACAUUGUGUUCACUAAUGAAAUUAUUUUUUCGGUAAUUUAAUAAAUAUAAAGUAAAUGGGUUCACGUAUGAACUUUCUACUAAAGUAUCUCCAGAGUAGGGAGACAGAAGAGAAGCACAAAAAACAAAAUUACAAAUUGUUUUAUACUUGUGUAGAUUUUUUUACAUUUUCACACUUGUAAGUCUAAAAAGAAAAGAACAUGGUUUCUUGAUUA